AGUUUGAUCCUGGCUUAGGAUGAACCCUUGAGCCUGGCGUAACACAUGCCCUUCGUGGGGCAUCACAGGAACCUCUACUGGGCGGCGACCGGCCCACGGGUGCGGAACACGUGCGCACCCUUCCUUUAAACGUAUAAUAGCCGGGCGAAAGCCGGAUUAUUACUCCGUAACAUUGUGGUGUGGCAUCACACUACAAUUAUAGCUCCGGCGCUUAAAGAUGGGCGUGCGCCUGAUUAGGUAGUUGGCGGGGUAACGGCCUGUCACCCCUUCUAUCAGUAACUGGUGUGAGAGCACGACCGGUCACACGGGCCUUGACACACGGGCCCCACUCCUACGGGCGGAAGCCCUAAGGAAUAUUGGUCGUGGGACGCAAGUCGGAACCAGCCAUGCCGCGUGGAGGAUGAAGGCCCUCUGGGUUGUAAACUUCUUUUAUCUGGGAAGAAACCUCAGUUUUCUAAUUGAGCCGACGGUGCCAGAUGAAUAAGCACAGGCUAACUCCGUGCCACCGGCCGCGGUAAUACGGAGGGUGCAAGCGGUUAUGCUCGNAUUCACUGGGUUUAAAGGGUGCGCUAGGUGGGUCUUUAAGUCAGUGGUGAAAUCUCUGGGCUUCAACUCGGAGACUGCCUUUGAUACUAUCGAUCUUGAAUAUCGCGUAGGUGAGCGGAAUAUGUCGUGUAGCGGUGAAAUGCUUAGAUAUGACAUAAAACACUAAUCGCGAAGGCAGCUUACUUCUCGAUCAUUGACACUGAGGCACGAAAGCGUGGGGAGCAAACAGGAUUAGAUACCCUGGUAGUCCACGCCCUAAACGAUGGAUACUCGACAUUAGCGAUACAGUGUUAGUGUCUGACCGAAAGCAUUAAGUAUCCUACCUGGGAAGUACAACCGCGAGGUUGAAACUCAAAGGAAUUGUGGGGGGUCCGCACAUCACGGUGGAGCAUGUGGUUUAAUUCUAUGAUCCGUGAGGAACCUUACCUGGGCCAUUGAAUGCAGUCUUGACUGUGGGUGAAAGCUCAUUUUGUAUCAAUUCACAUAUUGUAAGGUGCUGCGUGGCUGUCGUCAGCUUGUGCCGUGAGGUGUCUGGGUUAAGUCGCGUACCGAGCGCAACGCACCAUCAUUAGUUUCCAUCAUGUCAAUGCUGGUAACUACUCAUGAAACUGCCGUCGUAGGAGACGUGUUGAAGGAGGGGAUGAUGUACAAGUCAUCAUGGGCCUUUAUGCCCAGGGCCUACACACUUGUCUAGCAAUGGGAAGGACAAGAGGGCUGGCACUUUGACGGCAACAAGGAGCUAAUUCCAACAACCUUUUCUCAGUUCAUAUUGGAGUCUGCAACUAGACUCCUUGAAGCUGGUAUCGCUAGUUAUCGUAUUUCAGCAAUGAUCCGGUGAAUACGUUCUUCGGACGUUGCUCACACCGCCCGUCAAGCCAUUGAAGCCGGGUGGUUCUUAAAGUACGGUGACCGCAAUGAGCCGCCUACGAGGUAAAACUGGGGAUUGGGUCUAAGUCGUAACAAGGUAGC
Molecule: ribosomal RNA, 1515 nt
Filed under: uncultured Flexibacter sp.
Lineage: Bacteria; Pseudomonadati; Bacteroidota; Cytophagia; Cytophagales; Flexibacteraceae
Description: 16S ribosomal RNA
Rfam family: Bacterial small subunit ribosomal RNA
Source: RNAcentral